Molecule: ribosomal RNA, 368 nt
Filed under: uncultured organism
Description: bacterial SSU rRNA
Rfam family: Bacterial small subunit ribosomal RNA
Source: RNAcentral
CGAAGGUCCCAAGCGUUAUCCGGAUUUAUUGGGUUUAAAGGGUGCGUAGGCGGGCUAUUAAGUCAGUGGUGAAAGCCCCAAGCUUAACUUGGGAACUGCCAUUGAUACUGAUGGUCUUGAGUACAUUUGAGGUGGGCGGAAUGUGUCAUGUAGCGGUGAAAUGCUUAGAUAUGACACAGAACACCGAUUGCGAAGGCAGCUCACUAAACUGUAACUGACGCUGAGCCACGAAAGCGUGGGGAGCAAACAGGAUUAGAUACCCUGGUAGUCCACGCCCUAAACGAUGAUCACUCGAUGUGUGCGAUAUACUGUACGCGUCUGAGCGAAAGCAUUAAGUGAUCCACCUGGGGAGUACGACCGCAAGGUUG